Phalacrocorax carbo (great cormorant) is the source of this 5293-nucleotide non-coding RNA. The record is from RefSeq and is a predicted model, not a curated record. NCBI's taxonomy places the organism in Eukaryota, Metazoa, Chordata, Aves, Suliformes, Phalacrocoracidae.
AGGCCCCCGCAGCCCUGGCUGUCACUGCAGAAGAAGCGCAGGGCUGGAAAACUGGCUGCGGAGGGCGUCGGGGCUGCCAAGCGCACGAGCUGGCGGCUCACACAGCAAUGGGAAAAGCCCUCACCUCCUUCACAUCGCGACUACAGGGCUGCUGGGUUCCCGUGGAGCUGCUCUCUCCCCAGCUUUCAGCAACCAAAGCGAUGCGAAAGAGGCUUUUCCAGUGGCCUGUGACAGCAGUGGGAGAGUUGGAGCUGCAGUGCUGCCAAGGGACGCAUGAAAAAAGCACUCAUUUUCCUAUGGAGACCAGCAACACUGAUGUGAGAAACAACAGAAAAAAAACCCAAGACAUGCCAGACCGUUAGAUCCUAAAAAGGAGCCAUGAGCAAAAUCUGGGGUGUGUGGAGAACACAUCUCAUGCACUGCUAGGUCUGGAGAAUUAGUCAGCGUUAUCCAUAGCAUAGGGAUGGAGGCAGCCUGUUAUCAGGCCGCAGGUUGAAAUCAAAAAAAGGAAAUAAUUUUGCACACAAGGCACAAUGAGAUUACGUCAUCAAAGCUGAAAAUUAAAUGAGUGCAAAGAAGAAUAGGAUGAAUGCAUAGAGAACUGGGGCUCCACAGCCAUUAAUUACGCAGAUCCAGAAGCAAUAGCUUGAUCACGUUCCCUAUGUCCCUGAUGGCUAGAAGAGAAGGAUCACGCCCUUUUGCUAAAUGUCCAUCUAAAUCCUUGCCCAUUUUGCAGCUGGAGACAAGCGCCAAUGCGCUGCCUGUCUGAUCUGACCUAGCAUGGCUCUUAUUAUAUUCUAGGAAAACAACAUGCUGGUGAAGCUUUAAGCCAAUAAGAAGUUUGGACAUGUUAGAAAACAUUGAUGAAAGCAGAAACAAACAAUAUAGAAUAUUAGCUCUUAGAAACAGUGCAGGAAGUAAACAAAGACUUAAUUUGGAAAAAGCGACUAAUACAUCUGGGAUGGAUCAUCCACCUCCCCCCCAGAUGUUCAAAGAUGGAGAAACCUCGAGGCAGUGGGAUGAAGAGGGUGAGCAGGAAUGCACCAUGCCACAGCAGCGAGAGUGAGAGGAAUGCGAAUGCGAGCCCCAUCCCUCUCUGUUGCUCCGUGGCUGAGGGUCACAGGCAACAAGGAGCCAAUCCCUCUGGAGCCAGUGGUGGAAAGCCUCGACCUGGUGUGUCUGUUUUAAUUCUGGCCAUAUUGUUACCAGAGGAAGAUUGGAAAAUCUGAGGGAAGUUCAAGCUAAGAGCCAUAAGAAUGAGCAAACUAGGGAGAGUAUGCGCUGAAAGAAAAAUGAUGAACCGUGACAAGUAUGUUUGCCUUGGCAGAGCUACAGCUGUGGCUGCACACAGAGCAUGCAGCCGCACAGCUUCACAAAUAAGGGGUGCAGCCCCCCCCCCCCCCCCUUCACCUGUUUUGGGGGUUUUCAGUGCCAGCAUGAUGCCAGUGGUGCUGCAUGGGGGGAAGGAGAGGGAAAAAAAGGACAGAGGACUGCAGCCACCCAGUGCACGACAGAGGAGAACAAGCUGCUUUGGGGAGGUCAGGGUGAAGCUAAAGCAAGGAAAGGCGGGGUUUGGGCACUAGCAGCCUUCCCGGGAGUGAGGCCACCUGUGUGAGUUGCCCAGAGCCUGGGAAGGACCACAGUGCUUUUACUUGCCAGGAGGGGAAGGUCCCUGCCCAUCCACGGGGAACUUCACAUCUAACCCAGAGGAACAGCAGGGAACUGGCAAGAGAGGAAAUCCCAUCUCUGGACUUUUCCAUGUUUAGUGCCAGGAGCUCCGCUCCACUAUUGGCAAGUUCUCGUCUUCUGGAAAACAGUGUAAAAACUUUUCUGGCAUCAGUUCAGAAGUCUUUAUUGUGAUAAAGAUACAGAGAUUUGUACGAGCAUCAAAACAAAGAUCCAUUUCAUCAGGGCCAAGCCGCAAAAAGAAAGCGUGUGGCCGGGGUGGCAGGGACUGUUGUCCUCAGUGUACCCCCCCAGCCCCUCCUGAACAGGCUGCUGAGCCCUGCGACGCAGCUGGCAGCCCCGCAGAGCCUGCACGUCCCCCUGGCGCAGAGCAUGGGAAGAACUGGGACAGCUGAGAAGGGGGCACCAUCCAGCUGAGAGCUGCUUUUGGAGAAGCUGGGGCAUCCCGGCCUGCAUCAACAUUGCAAAUCAGCCUCUCACUGCAGAGGCAAUGGCCCCACUUCCAAGAGCCUUCUUCCAAGCGGAGGCUCCACUGUGCUUUGCUGUAGGGCCAGAGAAAUCAGCUGUAGCCUGUGCACAGAGGAGAGCUGGCUGUGUUGGGGAGGAGAGUGAAGGGUGCUUAGAGCCUGUGGUGGGGACCGGCUGUUUUCUGCAAGAGGUGAGUGUGCUGCAGGCACCCAGGCUUUCUCUUCUGACUCCUGAAAAUCUCAGCCUCAUUGAUAGUUUUGCCUCAGACCUGACACUUGGGUGAACACGAGAGAGCUCGUGAAAGUCAUCAGUCCCAGAGACACCAGACUGCUCCCGCACCCUGCAAAGCUAUCAAAAACAGACCACUCAACAUUUGAACCCAAACCAGAGACACUCAUCCCACCUUGCUGCAGCACGUCUCAGGGCUUCCUGUGGCAAAAAAGACCAAGGUCUGGAGUCUUGGCAGCCCAGCGGAGCUCAUCAGUGAAUAAAUAUUUGCAAGGCAGGAACGCGUGGUGUUAACAGAUGCUUUAACCCAGAAGAGCAAAACUGUACAGGAGCCAGUGGCUGGAAAUUAAAGCCAGAAGCUAUCGAAUUAGAAAUAAGGCACAGAUAAUUAUCAGCGAGGCAGAUCAACUGCAUUAACAAGAGAAGUAAUGCCACAUUAUUACUGGCAUAUUUGGAAAUUCCCCCCGCUGUCAUUAAUGGUGUUCACGUACGCAUUGAGUGGCUCUGGAACACACAUUUGAGGUGGAUGCAGCUGGGUCAGAUGCAGCACAGAAGCAAAGAAAUGGAUGUUCAUUGAACUUGAACUCUUUGACCAAGGAUUUUGAGUAGCCUGCGUGGAUAAAAUCCUGCAAUAGCAGGAGAAAUGGGGAGAAAAAAAACAUAUGCUUUUCUGUGAAGGUUCACGUACAGCCAGUGAUAUGCAAGGGUCUCACCCUGAUAGGAUGCCUUCAGUCAACCAGUUCCUGGAGCCUCAGCCUGCUCAAGUGAUUUUUAAAUGGCAUGUCUGGUGUCACCUUAGAAAUUCUAGUUCUGGAGAGAUUCACUCAUAAAUGUGAUCUAAAAGUCAUAAGGUUUAAAAAUAAUGUAACAUAUUUUGUAUUGAUCUUAGUUCGGGGCCCUUAGGUUGCGCUCAAGUCGCAUUUACAAAUUUAAGAAAAACAAAACUCAAACCAAAAACCAAGAAGGAAGGCAGGAGGGAAUAAGCAAAAAUACCAGCUGAUCACCUACUCCAGACUCAAGAGCUAACAAUAUUAAUACCAUGGGACUUGCAAUAAAAAUACAAAACAUUGCUAAAGCUCUUCUCCCAGGUUCUAUAUUUGAGCUUUUCCUUUGGCAUAAACCCUUAGGAGGGACCAGAAAAGCAGACUGGCGCAGGCUUUCUCUCCACACCAGCUUCCACGUGGAGUUUCUGCAUCCAAUGGAUCUGCCAGUUCCAACAUCACAGGCAUGACUAAGCAGCUGCCAGAUCCCCAAGGAGGUCUCAGGAGAGGAGUUACCAUUCUGCAGGUUUCCACGCUGAUCAUGGGGAAGAAGGACACACCAGGUAAUAUGGGGAGCUUCUCCAGGGCAACUGCCCUGCUAUGAAUACUCUGUAUGCAAGGAAGGUGUGUGGCAAGCGGGGCUGACUGGCAGCUGAAGCAGCUCUGAUCACAUGCUCCUCCUGCAUGCCUUCCAGCCGUGACCAAAAAGUACUGAUAAUCUCUCAUCUACCUAUCUUUGCUGAGAACAACAGAAGGAAGACUCCGUCUCUAGUUGAAUUCCAACACCUCAGUGUAUUUGCAGAGAAAACAAAAACUGGUCAAUGGACAGUGUAGGGAAUUGUCAUUGGCGCAUUGAUCUGGAUCACUUGCUUGGGGGAAUAUUCUUGGAAUAGUACAAAUUUUAGUGGAGCCACAGGGAAGGCAAAGCGGCUCAUGUUGAGAGACAGUGAUGUAUGGUGCGAGACAGCGGCGAUUCUGGAAUGCAAUGACCAGGAAAAAAAGCCAAGUUGCAAUAGUCCAACUGGACAAAACAGCCCCAAAACUUUCUCAAAAGUGAGCAGGCCUGGCCCUGAGAUAUAUGAAUGGGGAACAUAGAGUAUAGAUCAAAACCAGAGGGUGUUACUUUUAUGUACACUAUUAGCAACUCUACUACCACUCGCUGCUGAAAACUUUGGUCUCCAAAUUUCAGAAAGAUGUGACAAUUUUCAAAGAAGUGGACUCAUGAGCUGCAAGUGAGGUCAGCACAGGGCACUUUAGAUUGAAGAUCAAUCUAUUUAAUAUGAUACAAUUGCAACUUGCAAGCACCAAGAAGGAAAAGGGAUUUUGAUAGCAGAGUUACUUAGUCUUUCUGAAAUGGGCAGAACAAGAUCCAACAGAAACUGAAGCCAGCUAAUUCAGAGCAAAAAUAAGACACAGAUUUUUGGAAGAAUAAUGAACUGACCAAAGAUCUUACCACAAGACAGGGUAGAUUUUUCCCUUACCUUUAGGUCCUUCAAUACAUUAUGGCUCCUACUUCCAGGCAUGAAAGAGAAAUAACUGGGAGACAUUUUCCAGCCUGCACUGUGCAGAGGGACAGGCUGGGAAAACAUGAAAACCACGAGCUCUGUAUCUGUCCUUGCUCGAAGGAGAAAGCUUUACUGGGGUUGUACUCCCUGAUCCCCUCUGCACCUUCUACAGCUUUGCUCGGGGAAACAGGUGAAGGUAUGUGUUUGCCAUGCCUUUCUCUCCACAAUAUCUGCUUUCUUUUGGCCUCCAGCAUUUAUAGGUCAUUAUGAGAAGAGAUUUCUGAGAUUUUGUGGGAGGUAGACAGGCACCAGUGGUUUCCAAGUGUUUUUAUAAAAAUGGAUUUCUGACUUACCUCUCUUCUUUUUUUGGAGCAAGGAAUGGAAAAUGGAAGAAAGUGAUUCAUAAACCUGAUCAGUAGCAUCACCCUAGCUGUGUGCUAGAAGAUGGGCUGCAGUAUGUGCACUCACAAGCCCUGGGUCUUAUGGUCAUGGGAUAAGCCUAAACCAUGAGGGAAGGAAAGGCAAAUUUUCACUGAUUUUGCUGGUGGAAAGAGUGGUUCAAUCUGUGCGUGCUCGUGCUGCUUAACUGCUGCCAGCUGUCUAUUUGUAAAAGAACAUGACUUAAUAAACAUUUUCCCUAGAUCA